Molecule: ribosomal RNA, 341 nt
Filed under: uncultured bacterium
Lineage: Bacteria
Description: bacterial SSU rRNA
Rfam family: Bacterial small subunit ribosomal RNA
Source: RNAcentral
GAUGAACGCUAGCGGCAGGCCUAAUACAUGCAAGUCAAGGGGAUAGCAAUAUCACCGGCGGACGGGUGCGUAACGCGUACACAACGUGCCCAAGGGCGGAGGAAAGCGGCGGGAAACUGCCGGUAAUACUCCAUGGUGUUGUUGAGUGGCAUCACUUAACAACUAAAGUACAAGCGCCCUUGGAUCGGUGUGCGUUCGAUUAGCUAGUUGGCGGGUAACGCCACAAGGCUUCGAUCGAUAGGGGGUNUGAGAGCAUGACCCCCCANACGGUACGUGAGACACGGACCCGACCUCCUACGGAGGCAGCAGUAAGGAAUAUUGGACAAUGGGCGGAAGCCUGA